GCCCUUGAGUUUGAUCCUGGCUCAGGGUGAACGCUGGCGGCGUGCUUGACACAUGCAAGUCGAACGGUAUGUGGCAACACAUAGAGUGGCGAACGGGUGAGUAACACGUGGGAACGUACCAUCUGCAGGGGGAUAACUGACCGAAAGGACAGCUAAUACCGCAUAAGUCCGGAAGGAGAAAGGUGCAAUAGCAUCGGCAGAAGAGCGGCCCGCGGUCCAUCAGCUAGUUGGUGAGGUAAGGGUUUACCAAGGCGACGACGGAUAGCCGGCGUGAGAGCGUGGCCGGCCACAAGGACACUGAGAUACGGGUCCUACUCCUACGGGAGGCAGCAGUGCGGAAUUUUAGAUAAUGGAGGGAACUCUGAUCUAGCGACGCCGCGUGCAGGAAGAAGGUCUUCGGAUUGUAAACUGCUGUGGUAAGGGAAAAAUGCCAUGUAGAGUGGAAAGCUACAUGGAGGGAUGGUACCUUACUAGAAAGCCCCGGCUAACUACGUGCCAGCAGCCGCGGUAAUACGUAGGGGGCGAGCGUUACCCGGAAUCACUGGGCGUAAAGGGAGCGUAGGUGGCCUAACAUGUCAACUGUGAAAACCCGGAGCUCAACUCCGGACUUGCAGUUGAAACUGGUAGGCUUGAGGACGGUAGAGGAAGACGGAACUGCCAGUGUAGGGGUAAAAUCCUUAGAUAUUGGCAGGAACGCCGGUGACGAAGGUGGUUUUCUGGGCCGGUUCUGACACUGAUGCUCGAAGCUAGGGGAGCGAACGGGGAUUAGAUA
Molecule: ribosomal RNA, 772 nt
Filed under: uncultured bacterium
Lineage: Bacteria
Description: bacterial SSU rRNA
Rfam family: Bacterial small subunit ribosomal RNA
Source: RNAcentral